This 221-nucleotide ribosomal RNA is filed under the name uncultured bacterium. Its description in RNAcentral is "partial 16S ribosomal RNA". It matches the Rfam family "Bacterial small subunit ribosomal RNA", at positions 113 to 334 of the family's 1533-position model. The record is from RNAcentral.
CGACGUGAGGAACCUGCCUCAAAGAGGGGGACAACAGUUGGAAACGACUGCUAAUACCGCAUGACGCAUUCGGAUGGCAUCAUCUGAAUGCCAAAGAUUUAUCGCUGAAAGAUGGCCUCGCGUCUGAUUAGAUAGUUGGCGGGGUAACGGCCCACCAAGUCGACGAUCAGUAGCCGGACUGAGAGGUUGACCGGCCACAUUGGGACUGAGAUACGGCCCAG